This 514-nucleotide ribosomal RNA is filed under the name uncultured bacterium. RNAcentral's name for it is "bacterial SSU rRNA". It matches the Rfam family "Bacterial small subunit ribosomal RNA", at positions 16 to 518 of the family's 1533-position model. The record is from RNAcentral.
AUUAUGGCUCAGGAUGAACGCUAGCUACAGGCUUAACACAUGCAAGUCGAGGGGCAGCAUGAUCUGUGCUUGCACAGAUUGAUGGCGACCGGCGCACGGGUGAGUAACGCGUAUCCAACCUUCCCCUUAGUAGGGCAUAGCCCGGCGAAAGUCGGAUUAAUACCCUAUGUUCUUCGUCGAGGACAUCUGAAGUGAAGCAAAGAUUUAUCGCUAAGGGAUGGGGAUGCGUCCGAUUAGGUUGUUGGCGGGGUAACGGCCCACCAAGCCUUCGAUCGGUAGGGGUUCUGAGAGGAAGGUCCCCCACACUGGUACUGAGACACGGACCAGACUCCUACGGGAGGCGGCAGUGAGGAGUAUUGGACAAUGGCCGAGAGGCUGAUCCAGCCAUGCCGCGUGCGGGAAGGACGGCCCUAUGGGUUGUAAACCGCUUUUGUUGGGGAGCAAUAAGGGUCACGUGUGACCUGAUGAGAGUACCCAGCGAAUAAGCAUCGGCUAACUCCGUGCCAGCCGCAGC